CGUUGACCUAUCGAUACAUAGUUGACGUCGCCGCGAAUGGCCACCAGAGGCCAGACGCUGACGUCAUCGGCAAUUCUGACAUCGCCGAUGACGACGCUGGAUGCGUCAAUCAUGACGCGAAGACCGAUUUGUGGGAAAAAUGCUUUGUAGGGGCGCAGCUGAGCAGACAUAUAGACCUCAAAAAUACGGGAGCAUAAGAAGACUUUGGUGGCUUUUAUCUCCCUGUGCAACCCCUGAAAACGGUGAAAAUUGAGCAAAUCGUGCAAUUACACGGCGAAAAGGGUGAAAAAUCACCAUUCAGAAAAAAAGAUCGAAAAAAGGCUUGUGCAAAAAAAUGGGAUCCUCAUUCUCCAUCCAUCCUUCAGCCUUCCUUCCAUCCAUUGCCAUCCAUUCUUCAUUCCUCUUUCCAUUCCGUCCAUCCAUUUCGUCCAUCCAUUCCAUCCGUUCCUUCCUAUCUCCAUUCCACUCUUUCCAUCCAUCAUCAUUCCUUCCUUGUCCACUCCUUAUUUCAUCCUUCCAUCCUUCCACUUUCUCCGUCCUUCGCUUCCCCGUCCACCCGUCGCAUUUCCAUCUGUCCGGGCUCUUCCAUCCAUUCCUCCGUCUCCGUAUCCCGCAUGCUCCAUUCCAUCCAUCGAUUCCUCCUUCCUAUCCGCCUCCAUUCCAUUCAUCCAUUCCUCUCCAUCCAUCUUUCCAUCCUUUCGCUAUCCCAUCCAUCUUUUCCCUUAUCCUUUCCUCAUUUCAUCUUUCCAUGUCCUCCGGCUUUCCUCCGGUUCCUCCUCCAUCCUUUCUUCUUUCCGGCCUUCCGCCCGUCCAUCUUCCUUUCCUCCACUUUGUCCGUCCUCGGCUGUCCAUUUCCGAUUGCUCAUCUGGGCUCUUCCUCAUUUUCCAUCUUCAACCAUUCCUUCCUUCCUCCGGCGAUGUCCAUUUCCAUCCGUCCCAUCCAUUCCAUUCCUCGACUCCUCCCGUAUCCUUCCAUCCAGUUACUCCACUAUCCAGCCGUACUCCUUCCUUCCUUUCGUCCUCUUUCCUCCUCCAUCCCGUUCCUCCAUCCAUUCCUCUUCAUCCAUUUCCGUCAUCCAUCCGCUUUCAUCGGCUGCUGUCCGUCAAACACUAUCCUCUUCUUCCGCUCCUCAUUUCAAUUCCAUCCCUAGAUCCACCUCGGCCAGCCUCUAUUAUCGAGACUGAUAAAUCAGACCUCCAUCGACUAAAGUCAUAUCCGUUGACGAGGCACUACGGUGCUGAAGUAACAAAUGCCCUGCUUCCGGGAAAAGCCUCAAGCAUCAGGUAACAUCAAAUCGUACCCCAAACCGACACAGGUGGUCAGGUAAGAGAAUACCAAGGCGCUUGAGAACUCGGGUGAAGGAACCAGGCAAAAUGGUGCCGUAACUUCGGGAGAGCACGCUUGUAGGUGAAGUCCCUGCGGAUGGAGCUGAGACCAUCGAAGAUACCAGCUGGCUGCAACUGUUUAUUAAAACACAGCACUGUGCAAACACAAAGUGGACGUAUACGGUGUGACGCCUGCCCGGUGCCGGAAGGUUGAUGGCUAUCCGUAAGGAGCCUUGAUCAACCCCGGUAAACGGCGGCCGUAACUAUAACGGUCCUAUAGCGAAAUUCCUUGUCGGGUAAGUUCCGACCUGCACGAAUGGCGUAAUGAUGGCCGGGCUUGUCUCCACCCGAGACUCAGUGAAAUUGAACUCGCUGUGAAGAUGCAGUGUACCCGCGGCAAGACGGAAAGACCCCGUGAACCUUUACUAUAGCUUGACACUGAACAUUGAGCCUUGAUGUGUAGGAUAGGUGGGAGGCUUUGAGCGUGGACGCCAGUCUGCGUGGAGCCAACCUGAAAUACCACCCUUUAAUGUUUGAUGUUCUAACGUUGGCUGACCGGGGUUGCGGACAGUGUCUGGUGGGUAGUUUGACUGGGGCGGUCUCCUCCCAAAGCGUAACGGAGAGCACGAAGGUUAGCUAAUCACGGUCGGACAUCAGGAGGUUAGUGCAAUGGCAUAAGCUAAGCGACUGCGAGCGUGACGGCGCGAGCAGGUGCGAACGCAGGUCAUAGUGAUCCGGUGGUUCUGAAUGGAAGGGCCAUCGCUCAACGGAUAAAAGGUACUCCGGGGAUAACAGGCUGAUACCGCCCAGAGUUCAUAUCGACGGCGGUGUUUGGCACCUCGAUGUCGGCUCAUCACAUCCUGGGGCUGAAGUAGGUCCCAAAGGGUAUGGCUGUUCGCCAUUUAAAGUGGUACGCGAGCUGGGUUUAGAACGUCGUGAGACAGUUCGGUCCCUAUCUGCCGUGGGCGCUGGAGAAUUGGAGGGGGCUGCUCCUAGUACGAGAGGACCGGAGUGGACGCAUCGCUGGUGUUCGGGUUGUCAUGCAAUGGCACUGCCCGGUAGCUAAAUGCGGAAGAGAUAAGUGCUGAAAGCAUCUAAGCACGAAACUUGCCCCGAGAUGAGUUCUCCUGAGACUAUAAGUCUCCUGAAGGAACGUUAAAGACGAUGACGUUGAUAGGCCGGGUGUGUAAGCGCAGCGAUGCGUUGAGCUAACCGGUACUAAUGAACCGUGAGGCUUAACC
Molecule: ribosomal RNA, 2567 nt
Filed under: Klebsiella pneumoniae
Lineage: Bacteria; Pseudomonadati; Pseudomonadota; Gammaproteobacteria; Enterobacterales; Enterobacteriaceae
Description: bacterial LSU rRNA
Rfam family: Bacterial large subunit ribosomal RNA (bases 1161-2567)
Source: RNAcentral